RNAcentral lists this microRNA precursor (81 nucleotides) under Ictidomys tridecemlineatus (thirteen-lined ground squirrel). RNAcentral's name for it is "miRNA (ENSSTOG00000030391.1)". Lineage: Eukaryota; Metazoa; Chordata; Mammalia; Rodentia; Sciuridae. The record is from RNAcentral.
CUGGGACCUGGAGAGAGGUCUUCUGGGUUUCUGUUUCUUUCCGGAGGAUGAGACUCACCCAGGGAACCCCUUUUCCACAAU